Molecule: ribosomal RNA, 520 nt
Filed under: Streptomyces enissocaesilis
Lineage: Bacteria; Bacillati; Actinomycetota; Actinomycetes; Kitasatosporales; Streptomycetaceae
Also listed under: 1 other name
Description: bacterial SSU rRNA
Rfam family: Bacterial small subunit ribosomal RNA
Source: RNAcentral
AAGUCGAACGAUGAACCACUUCGGUGGGGAUUAGUGGCGAACGGGUGAGUAACACGUGGGCAAUCUGCCCUGCACUCUGGGACAAGCCCUGGAAACGGGGUCUAAUACCGGAUACUGAUCCUCGCAGGCAUCUGCGAGGUUCGAAAGCUCCGGCGGUGCAGGAUGAGCCCGCGGCCUAUCAGCUAGUUGGUGAGGUAACGGCUCACCAAGGCGACGACGGGUAGCCGGCCUGAGAGGGCGACCGGCCACACUGGGACUGAGACACGGCCCAGACUCCUACGGGAGGCAGCAGUGGGGAAUAUUGCACAAUGGGCGAAAGCCUGAUGCAGCGACGCCGCGUGAGGGAUGACGGCCUUCGGGUUGUAAACCUCUUUCAGCAGGGAAGAAGCGAAAGUGACGGUACCUGCAGAAGAAGCGCCGGCUAACUACGUGCCAGCAGCCGCGGUAAUACGUAGGGCGCAAGCGUUGUCCGGAAUUAUUGGGCGUAAAGAGCUCGUAGGCGGCUUGUCACGUCGGUUGU